RNAcentral lists this ribosomal RNA (484 nucleotides) under uncultured bacterium. Its description in RNAcentral is "partial 16S ribosomal RNA". It matches the Rfam family "Bacterial small subunit ribosomal RNA", at positions 28 to 507 of the family's 1533-position model. The record is from RNAcentral.
AUUGAACGCUGGCGGCAUGCUUUACACAUGCAAGUCGAACGGCAGCGCGGGCUUUGGCCUGGCUGCUAGUGGCGCUCGGGUGAGUAAUACAUCGGAAUGUCCCCCGUAGGGGGGGGUAGUACGUUGAAAGCCGGAUUAAUACCACAUACGACGAGCGCGUGAUACCGGGGGGGCUUUGGACCGUUUCCUCGUUUGGCGACCGAUGGCCGGUUAGUCAGUUGGUGGGGUAAAGGAUUACGAAGGAGGCGAUCUGGAGCUGGUCUGAGUGGACGGCUAGCCACACUGGGACUGAGACACGGCCCAGUCUCCUAGGGGAGGCGGCAGUGGGGAUUUUUGGACCAGGGGCGGGAGCCUGAUCCGGCAAUGCCGCGGGUGUGAUGAGGACCUUCGGGUUGUAAAGCACGUUUGGCGGGAACGAAAAGGAUUGUGCCAAUACCGCGGCUCGAUGACGGUACCCGCAGAAUAAGCACCGGCUAACUACGUG